AGUCUCACUCUGUUGCCCAGGCUGGAGUGCAAUGGCGCGAUCUCAGCUCACUGCAAUCUCUGCCUCCUGAGUUUAAGCAAUUCUCCUGCCUCAGCCUCCCGAAUAGCUGGGAUUACAGGCUUGCACCACCAUGCCCGGUUCAGUGGACCGGACAUGUCUAGGCAGGAGAGCUGCAGACAGGGUGAGGGAGUCACCAGGUGGAGGAGCCCUGGGAGGUGCAAUGGUGAACAACACUGCUUCCGGGGUCAUUGGCUGCAGCAGCAAAGCAAAGCAGAGUGUUCAUUGUGAUUUGUCGUGAAGAAUGAUUUGCCAUGCAUUUGCCUUCCUAGCCUAUCUACUUCCCCUGUGAGUAGAACUACAACACGUACCUUUUAGGAUUUCGAAGAACAGAAAAGCCUUUUAGGUGCACUGUCCAGAAAACCAAGAAGAAGCCCUAGUGGUUUGUUGCUCUGAACUUUGAAAUCUUUGCAGCUGGAUGUCACCAUAUUCUCAUGUCUGUGAGAUUCUAGGUAUUCUGUAUAUAUUGUUAAGAUCACAGGAGAACUAAUCUGUGUCAUUUGGAAGCCAUUUCAACCACAAAGUCAGAUAUUUUAGGAAAUACUAAAAAUCCUCACUUGGAAAUGAACUUUUUUAUAUCACGUUUAAAAAAUUAUGGUAAAUAUAUAUAAAAUCCACCAUUUUAAUCAUUUCUAAGUGUACCGUUCAGUGGCACUAAGUACAUUCAUGUGGUUGUGCAAUCAUCACCCCCCAAUGUCUCUGGAACUUUUUUCAUCUACCCAGACUGAAACUUGGUAUUUCUUAACAAUAACUCGUUUUCUUUCCUUCCCUACAACCCCUGGCAAACACCAUUCUUUGUUUUGUUUUGUUUUUUUGAGAUGGAGUCUUGCUCUGUCACCUAGGCUGAAGUUUAGUGGCAUGGUCUUGGUUCACUGCAAUCUCUGCCUCCCAGACUCAAGAGAUUCUCCUGCCUCAGCCUCCUGAGUAGUGGGGAUUACAGGUGCUCACCACCACACCUGGCUAAUUUUUGUAAUUUCUUAGUAGAGAUGGGGUUUCACUAUGUUGGCCCGGCUGGUCUUCAACUCCUGACCUCAGGCGAUCCACCCGCCUCGGCCUCUUGCAGUGCUGGAAUUACAGGUGUGAGCCACCGCUCCCGGCCCUUGGCAACCACCAUUCUACUUUCUUUCUUUUUAAAAUAUUUUUUGAGAUGGGGUCUCGCUCUGGCCCCCAGGCUGGAGUGCAGUGGCAGGAUGUCAGCUCAUUGCAACCUCUGCCUCCCAGGCUCAAGCAAUCCUCCCACCUCAGCCUCAAUAACUGGGACCACAGGGACGUGCCACCAUGCCUGGCUAAUUUUUGUGUGUUUUUGUAAAGAUGGGGUUUUACCAUGUUGCCCAGGCUGGCCUUGAACUCCUGACCUCAAGCAAUCUGUCCACCUCAGCCUCCCAAAGUGCUGGGAUUACAGGCGUUGAGCCACUGUACCUGGCCUACUUUCUCUAUGUGUAAAUUUGACUACUCUAAGUAUCUCAUAUGAUAUUUCUCGUUUUGUGACUGGCUUAUUUCACUUAAAGUUUCCCCAUGUUAUAGCAUGGCUCAGAAUUUCCUUCCUUUUUAAGGGUGAAUAAUGUUCCACAGUAUGUAUCUACCACAGUCUGUUUAUCCAUUCAUGCAAACAUUGUCCAAUGAUACGAACAUUUAGGUUGUUUCCACCUAGAAAUACAUUUCAAUUUCUUUUUUUUUUUUUUUUCUUUUGAGACAGAGUCUUGCUCUGUCACCCAGGCUGGAGUGCAGUGGCAUGAUCUCAGCUGACUGCAACCUCCACCUCCCAGGUUCAAGCGAUUCUCCUGCCUCAGCCUCCUAAGUAGCUGGGAUUACAGGCACGCACCACCAUGACCAGCUAAUUUUUGUAUUUUUAGUAGAGAUGGCGUUUCAUCAUGUUUGUCAGGCUGGUCUCGAACUCCUGACUUCGUGAUCUGCCUGCCUUGGCCUCCCAAAGUGCUGGGAUUACAGCCACCGCACCCGUCCUCAAAAUGUUUUAGCUGAGAACAAAUACUAAUUACUGAUUCAUAGAAACAACUGUUUUAAGUUUACAUAUGGAACCGUCAUAUAUAGUUUGAUACCAGUGCUGUUUUAUAGAUCCAGGGUCCAAACACCCCAUAGAGGAUUGUAAUCAGGUUCCUCAUAUCUAGAUAUUAUAUCUAGAUCUAAAGCAAGUUGGGGUAAAACAUCCUACUGGACUAGAUUCUGUCAUUUAAAUAUAUUUGAUUGCUAAUUACAGAUUCUGCCUACAGUAACCAACCCUCUGCCAGUUCCUAGAAAGUAAAAGGUAUGUUAUGGCAAAAAGAGGAUUGAUUAUCUAGGAUCACGUAUCCUUGAAACUUGCAUGAUUUUAAUUAAGUCUUUGACGCAAUUACACUGCUAUACCAGAGUCAGGCUGCAAGAAGAACUGACUGUGGUCAGGGGCACAUUUGCCAAAUGUGUUCUAACAAAACAGAGGGAGUUUUCGCUGUGUUGGGGUAGAGAAACAAUUUCCAUUUCGAUUUGCAAAUUGCUAUUCCUGUCAAAAGGAGCAAGCUGAUAACGUCCCCAGUCUUCUUUUAGGAAGUCUGGGGAACACAGAGCUCACAGGCAGAGGUACUCAGAGAGAGACACAAAGCCACAAUCAUGUAGAAGAAAAAGCCAGCCCUGAAAUGGUAAAUUAUUGACAACUGGGCAUUCAGCGGAGAGCACUGAAAGGAAAGUAGGCACUCUUCUGUAACCACAGCAGAUGCAGCCUGUUUCUAAAAUCCAAGGCCAAGAGGCAGGUAUUUUCUGCAAUUAAUAAUAAUGACACUGAUAUCAGGAAGUAACCAUUCUGGCACAGACUGGCAGGGAACAAGAACAGCCUGGGACACAGAGAUCACAGAGGCUGGAUAAUGUGGGAAGAAAGUGAGUCUCUACGAGAUGAGACAAAGGCAACUCCUUGUCAUGUCUGACUAAGGAGUUUCAACAAUUCCCUAAUGCUGGGAGACUGGAAGUUAAUAUCAGAAGCCUGUACAUACUUUUUAUUGUUGUUUGUAGGGUUAUGUUCACGUUAACUGCAUAAUGAAGCAUGUGUAACUGUCAUUCUAUGGUGCACAGUCAUUGAUUGGCAACCAGUGUUUCUGUUGUCUUCAUACUGCCCUGAGUUAGGGAACCUCUUCAGGAGUUCCUGGAGAAUGAUCUGUGAAGCAGCUGGAACCUUCUGAUUUCUGCAGGCCCCAUUCUGGUCCCUGAACAUUAUCCUAAGGGAAGACAUUCCUAGCAUGAAGUAUGCCUGUCUGCGUAUACUACGUGUGACUCAGCCCUUGUUUUUGGAGUUGAUAAUAGAUCUAGUUUACUGCCUUGAAAUAUUUAUAGGUUCUAUUAUCCUUUCUGGUUUUUCCACUGCUUUCUUGAUGCUCCUAAAGAUCUCAGGAGAUGUAACACAGGAGUGGGGAGACAUACACAGUACCAAGAACUGAGUUCCUCCAGUGGCUUUUCUCUGAAUAGAAAGAGAAAGGAAAGAAAACAAGAAGAGAGAAGGCAUAGAAACAUGUUUUUUUGGCCAGGUGCAGUGGCUCACACCUGUAAUCCCAGCACUUUAGGAGGCCGAGGCGGGUGGAUCAUAAGGUCAGGAGUUCAAGAGCAGCCUGGCCAAGAUGGUGAAACCCCAUCUCUACUAAAAAUGCAAAAAUUAGCCAGGUGUGAUGGUGGGCACCUGUAAUCCCAGCUAUUCAGGAGGCCGAGGCAGGAGAAUUGCUUGAACCCGGGAGGCAGAGGUUGCAGUAGUGAGCCGAGAUUGCACCACUGCACUCUAGCCUGGGCAACAGAGCAAGAUUCUAUCUUAAAAAAAGAGAGAGAGAGAAAGAAAAGAAAAGAAACUUUUUUUCCUCUUAGGGAGCUAGGCUAGUCAUGAUUAGACUAGUGAUGGGAGCUGAAGAGAGGCCUUUUGCACUGCCUGGGCAGAGUGGCCUGGGCACAGGGCCAGAGGGCACCCAUCUGGCUGGAGGCCCACAGGUGCCCCGUGAGGUACGACACUUCAAGCUUAGUAAAGCAUAUAUUCUUUUGAAUUGUGUAGAUCCUCCUUCCAAUGUUUACAGACCCUGGCGCAGAGAAAUUGCUUUGCUAAGAGGACAUGUGUUACUUUUCUCUGCAAAUUCAUUUUUUGGGGGAAUGGGAGGGGAGGGCUUAGGAAAGAUAGGUAAGGGUAGGCUUAUGUUCUGCAGAGUGACUGCUAACUGCCUUUUAUUUUUGGUUGGUGGCUCUGGGGCCUGGCUUCUGAGACGCAGUAUCGCUCUAGUUCCUCAAGUUCAGAGUCACCACUGGUUUUCUGGAUCGCUUCAGAUGGGCCCUUUCUCUUAGCCUCUGUUUUAACAUUGGUAAACUGGAAAAUUCCAGGCCAUUUCUUUGUGUGUUCUUCACAAGGAUAUAGGACAACCAUUAGGGCUGUGUUCUAGAAAAUAAAAUACUUUGGAGAAGAGAGUCUAGAUUUAAUUUUCUGUGAUGAUUUAAUAGAUUCAAAAGGCAACUUGAGAACAUUUUUCUUUGGCCCCCUCUAUUCUGUAUGACAGAACUCCAGUCCAGAGUCACGUCUCCUCCACCCCACCCCGUGACACUUGGCUGUUUCCACCAGCCUUUGUUGAAGUAUCUUGUCAAGUCUAAAUCUCAGACCUUUAGGCUCCUGUGCACACCAUUCAAAAGUGAUUCUAUGUAGAUUUGACUGUAAUUAAACCUGCUUUUCCUUUACAACGUUGUAAGAUUGACAUCUGAGCAGCACAAGUCCUUAUUUUUCCCUUGACAGAUUAUUUUCUUUAUUCAAAUAAAGCCUGUGUUCUAUUUUGAA
This is a long non-coding RNA of Symphalangus syndactylus (siamang), 4837 nucleotides long. RefSeq lists it as uncharacterized. NCBI's taxonomy places the organism in Eukaryota, Metazoa, Chordata, Mammalia, Primates, Hylobatidae. The record is from RefSeq and is a predicted model, not a curated record.